RNAcentral lists this ribosomal RNA (424 nucleotides) under uncultured delta proteobacterium. Its description in RNAcentral is "bacterial SSU rRNA". It matches the Rfam family "Bacterial small subunit ribosomal RNA", at positions 120 to 523 of the family's 1533-position model. Lineage: Bacteria; Deltaproteobacteria. The record is from RNAcentral.
GGUAAUCUACCCCAAAGUCUGGAAUAACCUGCCGAAAGGCGGCUAAUACUAGAUAGAGCGAUGGAAUCCGUAAUUGGGUUUUUCGGGAAAGGGAGGAAGCAAUUCCCUUUGCUUUGGGAUGAGCCUGCGUCUCAUUAGCUAGUUGGUGGGGUAACAGCCCACCAAGGCAUUGAUGGGUAGCUGGUCUGAGAGGAUGAUCAGCCACACUGGAACUGAAACACGGUCCAGACUCCUACGGGAGGCAGCAGUGGGAAUCUUGCGCAAUGGACGAAAGUCUGACGCAGCCACGCCGCGUGAGUGAAGAAGGCCUUCGGGUUGUAAAGCUCUGUCGAGCGGGACGAAAAUUCUAGGAGUGAAUAGCUCCUAGAACUGACGGUACCGCUAAAGGAAGCACCGGCUAACUCCGUGCCAGCAGCCGCGGUAA